UGCUUUUUCGCUUUGAUCAUAGAGUUAUUCCUUACUUUUUCACCUCGCAACUAAGAGGAGAGAAAAAAUUGCAACUUUAUUGCUGAAAUAAUUUUUUGGGUUUGGAUGACAGCGCCAUAGAAAGCUUUCAAGGCUUCUUGUUUGUCCUUGAGGCUAAUUCUUGUUUUCGACUGCUUUUGAGUCUUAAAUAUUUAAUUGAUAGCGAAGUUAGUCAUUCCUUGGGUUUGGAUGACUGUGCCAAGUUGAGCGCUUAUCGUACUAUAUAUCGAAUCAAGUGAAGAGGAAAGAACAGGAGGAUGGGGAAAACAAGACAUGAACAUCACAGGUGCAUGACUCGACGACCAUGGUUGAGGAGGCCGGCCUUACCUCGCCCCUAAUGUCGCCAUGAUCAUCAUAUGUUGGAAUUGUGGUGGCCUUGUCUGGGUUAAUUAUGGCAGUAAACCACCUUAGGGCUGUAGUAAGACAAGUCAAGCAUGACUACUUAUUUCUUGUGGUGACCAUGGUGGAAGAUAAGUAAGAUCUUGAGAAUUUUUGUUUUUUUAUCCAUCUUUUGAAGUCCCCCCUACAGGUAGGAAAGGAGGACUUUACUUUAAUUUGCUUAGGAAAAACACAUAGAUUUAAUUUGAUGUAAUCCUUAUCAAUUAUGAUAAUAUGAUAGACCCUAUUAUGUAUUCGGAUGCUUUUUCUAUUCUGUGGAAUAUGAUUACUUUAUUUAUGCA
Carya illinoinensis is the source of this 719-nucleotide long non-coding RNA. RefSeq lists it as uncharacterized. Lineage: Eukaryota; Viridiplantae; Streptophyta; Magnoliopsida; Fagales; Juglandaceae. The record is from RefSeq and is a predicted model, not a curated record. The transcript is spliced from 2 exons.